GAUGAAGAACGUAGCGAAAUGCGAUAAGUAAUGUGAAUUGCAGAAUUCAGUGAAUCAUCGAAUAUUUGAACGCACAUUGCGCCCCCUGGUAUUCCGGGGGGCAUGCCUGUCCGAGCGUCAUUGCAACCUUCAAGCGCGGCUUGUGUGUUGGGUCUCGUCCCCCGUGGACGGGCCCGAAAGGCAGUGGCGGCGUCCCGACAUGGUGCCCGAGCGUAUGGGAAUCCUCUUCCGCUCGAAUCGGCCCAUGCGGCGCUGGUCGUAACCAAAUUUUUUACCGGUUGACCUCGGAUCAGGUAGGGAUACCCGCUGAACUUAAGCAUAUCAAUAAGCGGAGGA
This 336-nucleotide unclassified non-coding RNA is filed under the name soil metagenome. Its description in RNAcentral is "partial contains 5.8S ribosomal RNA, internal transcribed spacer 2, and large subunit ribosomal RNA". The stretch from base 1 to 120 matches the Rfam family "5.8S ribosomal RNA", at positions 35 to 154 of the family's 154-position model. The record is from RNAcentral.